CCUACGGGUGGCAGCAGUGGGGAAUAUUGCACAAUGGGCGAAAGCCUGAUCCAGCAACGCCGCGUGAGGGAAGAAGGCCUUCGGGUCGUAAACUUCUGUCCUUGGGGAAGAACAACUGACGGUACCCAAGGAGGACGCCCCGGCUAACUACGUGCCAGCAGCCGAGGUAAUACGUAGGCGGCAAGCGUGAUCCGGAUUUAUUGGGCGUAAAGAGUACGUAGGGGGCAACCUAAGCGCAGGGUAUAAGGCAAUGGCUCAACCAUUGUUCGCCCUGCGAACUGGGAUGCUUGAGUGCAGGAGAGGAAAGCGGAAUUCCUAGUGUAGCGGUGAAAUGCGUAGAUAUUAGGAGGAACACCAGUGGCGAAGGCGGCUUUCUGGACUGUAACUGACGCUGAGGUACGAAAGCGUGGGGAGCAAACAGGAUUAGAUACCCGGGUAGUC
Molecule: ribosomal RNA, 441 nt
Filed under: uncultured bacterium
Lineage: Bacteria
Description: partial 16S ribosomal RNA
Rfam family: Bacterial small subunit ribosomal RNA
Source: RNAcentral